RNAcentral lists this ribosomal RNA (771 nucleotides) under uncultured bacterium. Its description in RNAcentral is "bacterial SSU rRNA". It matches the Rfam family "Bacterial small subunit ribosomal RNA", at positions 8 to 796 of the family's 1533-position model. The record is from RNAcentral.
AGAGUUUGAUCCUGGCUCAGAACGAACGCUGGCGGCGUGCUUAACACAUGCAAGUCGAGCGGUAAGGCCCUUCGGGGUACACGAGCGGCGAACGGGUGAGUAACACGUGGGUGACCUGCCCCCUACUCUGGGAUAAGCCUGGGAAACUGGGUCUAAUACCGGAUAUGACUGCAUGUCGCAUGGUGUGUGGUGGAAAGUUUUUCGGUGGGGGAUGGGCCCGCGGCCUAUCAGCUUGUUGGUGGGGUGAUGGCCUACCAAGGCGACGACGGGUAGCCGGCCUGAGAGGGCGACCGGCCACACUGGGACUGAGACACGGCCCAGACUCCUACGGGAGGCAGCAGUGGGGAAUAUUGCGCAAUGGGCGGAAGCCUGACGCAGCGACGCCGCGUGGGGGAUGACGGCCUUCGGGUUGUAAACCUCUUUCGGCCCCGACGAAGCGUGAGUGACGGUAGGGGUAGAAGAAGCGCCGGCCAACUACGUGCCAGCAGCCGCGGUAAUACGUAGGGUGCGAGCGUUGUCCGGAAUUAUUGGGCGUAAAGAGCUCGUAGGCGGUCUGUCGCGUCGGUCGUGAAAACUUGGGGCUUAACCCUGAGCUUGCGGUCGAUACGGGCAUGACUGGAGUUCGGCAGGGGAGACUGGAAUUCCUGGUGUAGCGGUGAAAUGCGCAGAUAUCAGGAGGAACACCGGUGGCGAAGGCGGGUCUCUGGGCCGAUACUGACGCUGAGGAGCGAAAGCGUGGGGAGCGAACAGGAUUAGAUACCCUAGUAGUCC